This 45-nucleotide transfer RNA is filed under the name Caiman latirostris (Broad-snouted caiman). RNAcentral describes it as "partial tRNA-Trp". The record is from RNAcentral. Lineage: Eukaryota; Metazoa; Chordata; Crocodylia; Alligatoridae.
AAGAAAUUAGGUUCAAGCCUCUAAACCGAGGGCCCUUCAAAGCCA